CCUUGUACACACCGCCCGUCACGCCAUGGAAGUUGGGAGUGCCCGAAGCCCGCGUCCUAACCCGCAAGGGAGGGUAACGGUCUAAGGCAAGCUUGAUGACUGGGGCGAAGUCGUAAACAAGGUACC
RNAcentral lists this ribosomal RNA (126 nucleotides) under uncultured bacterium. Its description in RNAcentral is "partial 16S ribosomal RNA". It matches the Rfam family "Bacterial small subunit ribosomal RNA", at positions 1379 to 1500 of the family's 1533-position model. The record is from RNAcentral.